Molecule: ribosomal RNA, 1343 nt
Filed under: uncultured bacterium
Lineage: Bacteria
Description: 16S ribosomal RNA
Rfam family: Bacterial small subunit ribosomal RNA
Source: RNAcentral
GACGAACGCUGGCGGCGUGCUUAACACAUGCAAGUCGAACGGAAAGGCCCUGCUUUUGUGGGGUGCUCGAGUGGCGAACGGGUGAGUAACACGUGAGUAACCUGCCCUUGACUUUGGGAUAACUUCAGGAAACUGGGGCUAAUACCGGAUAGGAGCUCCUGCUGCAUGGUGGGGGUUGGAAAGUUUCGGCGGUUGGGGAUGGACUCGCGGCUUAUCAGCUUGUUGGUGGGGUAGUGGCUUACCAAGGCUUUGACGGGUAGCCGGCCUGAGAGGGUGACCGGCCACAUUGGGACUGAGAUACGGCCCAGACUCCUACGGGAGGCAGCAGUGGGGAAUAUUGCACAAUGGGCGGAAGCCUGAUGCAGCAACGCCGCGUGCGGGAUGACGGCCUUCGGGUUGUAAACCGCUUUCGCCUGUGACGAAGCGUGAGUGACGGUAAUGGGUAAAGAAGCACCGGCUAACUACGUGUCAGCAGCCGCGGUGAUACGUAGGGUGCGAGCGUUGUCCGGAUUUAUUGGGCGUAAAGGGCUCGUAGGUGGUUGAUCGCGUCGGAAGUGUAAUCUUGGGGCUUAACCCUGAGCGUGCUUUCGAUACGGGUUGACUUGAGGAAGGUAGGGGAGAAUGGAAUUCCUGGUGGAGCGGUGGAAUGCGCAGAAAUCAGGAGGAACACCAGUGGCGAAGGCGGUUCUCUGGGCCUUUCCUGACGCUGAGGAGCGAAAGCGUGGGGAGCGAACAGGCUUAGAUACCCUGGUAGUCCACGCUGUAAACGGUGGGUACUAGGUGUGGGGUCCAUUCCACGGGUUCCGUGCCGUAGCUAACGCUUUAAGUACCCCGCCUGGGGAGUACGGCCGCAAGGCUAAAACUCAAAGGAAUUGACGGGGCCCCGCACAAGCGGCGGAGCAUGCGGAUUAAUUCGAUGCAACGCGUAGAACCUUACCUGGGUUUGACAUGGAUCGGGAGUGCUCAGAGAUGGGUGUGCCUCUUUUGGGGUCGGUUCACAGGUGGUGCAUGGCUGUCGUCAGCUCGUGUCGUGAGAUGUUGGGUUAAGUCCCGCAACGAGCGCAACCCUUGUUCACUGUUGCCAGCACGUUAUGGUGGGGACUCAGUGGAGACCGCCGGGGUCAACUCGGAGGAAGGUGGGGAUGACGUCAAGUCAUCAUGCCCCUUAUGUCCAGGGCUUCACGCAUGCUACAAUGGCUGGUACAGAGAGUGGCGAGCCUGUGAGGGUGAGCGAAUCUCGGAAAGCCGGUCUCAGUUCGGAUUGGGGUCUGCAACUCGACCUCGUGAAGUCGGAGUCGCUAGUAAUCGCAGAUCAGCAACGCUGCGGUGAAUACGUUCCCGGG